Molecule: transfer RNA, 74 nt
Filed under: Gasteruption tournieri
Lineage: Eukaryota; Metazoa; Arthropoda; Insecta; Hymenoptera; Gasteruptiidae
Description: tRNA-Cys
Source: RNAcentral
GAAUUCAUAAUUUAAAAUAAAAUGAUAAAUUGCAAAUUUAUUUAUAUAAUAAAUUAAAAAUGUUAUUGAAUUUU